ACGUAGGGAGCAAGCGUUGUCCGGAUUCACUGGGUGUAAAGGGUGCGCAGGCGGGUUGGUAAGUCAGAGGUGAAAUCUCACGGCUCAACCGUGAAACGGCCUUUGAUACUGCCAAUCUUGAGUUCGGGAGAGGUUGAUGGAAUUCCAGGUGUAGCGGUGAAAUGCGUAGAUAUCUGGAAGAACACCAGUGGCGAAGGCGGUCAACUGGCCCGUAACUGACGCUCAGGCACGAAAGCGUGGGUAGCGAACAGGAUUAGAUACCCUGGUAGUCCACGCCCUAAACGAUGAAUACUUGGUGUUGGAUCUUUUGAUUCAGUGCCGUAGGUAACCUGGUAAGUAUUCCACCUGGGGAGUACGCUCGCAAGGGUG
RNAcentral lists this ribosomal RNA (369 nucleotides) under uncultured bacterium. RNAcentral describes it as "bacterial SSU rRNA". It matches the Rfam family "Bacterial small subunit ribosomal RNA", at positions 525 to 896 of the family's 1533-position model. The record is from RNAcentral.